Molecule: ribosomal RNA, 447 nt
Filed under: uncultured Glomeromycotina
Lineage: Eukaryota; Fungi; Glomeromycota
Description: SSU rRNA
Rfam family: Eukaryotic small subunit ribosomal RNA
Source: RNAcentral
AGCAGCCGCGGUAAUUCCAGCUCCAAUAGCGUAUAUUAAAGUUGUUGCAGUUAAAAGCUCGUAGUUGAAUUUCGGGAUCAAGGGAUCGGUCAUGCUUUGGUAUGUACUGGUCUUAUUGGUUCUCACCUUCUAAAGAACCAUGAUGUCAUUCAUUUGAUGUUAUGGGGAAUUAGGACUGUUACCUUGAAAAAUUAGAGUGUUUAAAGCAAGCUUACGCUUGAAUACAUUAGCAUGGAAUAAUGAAAUAGGACAUCAGAUUCUAUUUUGUUGGUUUCUAGGAUCGAUGUAAUGAUUAAUAGGGAUAGUUGGGGGCAUUAGUAUUCAAUUGUCAGAGGUGAAAUUCUUGGAUUUAUUGAAGACUAACUACUGCGAAAGCAUUGCCAAGGAUGUUUUCAUUAAUCAAGAACGAAAGUUAGGGAUCGAAGACGAUCAGAUACCGUCGUAGUC